CCUUUCAGAUUCGUCAACUCUUGAGUACAAUGAAAUGCUGAAGUGGACGUUCGAGACAGAUGUUGCCCUUGGCAAAUCCGGCCAGAGACAGGCAUGUUUCAAAACUCUCGCCGUAUAUCCAGUUGAGCUGCUGUACUUCGGCAUACUUAGCCAACAUGGCAUAGACGAAAUGGAAGUAUAUCUCCAUGGACCAAGGAAAUUCCACAAUGAAGUAACACGAAUCCAAAACCUUAAUCAUUACACAUAAGUGUGUCAAAAUGAAGGCACAAUUUAUGAUCAAAUACAGCGUCGAUUUGACAAUACCCAAAUACAUGUUCUUUCGCUGAAUAAAUGCAGUCAUUUCA
RNAcentral lists this long non-coding RNA (344 nucleotides) under Haliotis rubra (blacklip abalone). RNAcentral's name for it is "uncharacterized LOC124274425". The record is from RNAcentral. Lineage: Eukaryota; Metazoa; Mollusca; Gastropoda; Lepetellida; Haliotidae.